Molecule: long non-coding RNA, 527 nt
Organism: Zingiber officinale
Lineage: Eukaryota; Viridiplantae; Streptophyta; Magnoliopsida; Zingiberales; Zingiberaceae
Exons: 4
Source: RefSeq, a predicted model, not a curated record
UUUCCUUGUCGAGAUUGUCGACAAUACUCUUUUCCACUAUGAUGUGAGUAUAGUGCCCGAAUCAGUGUCCAGAGCUACCAAUAGAAAAAUCAUCUCUGAGCUUGUCAAGGCGCAUAAGGAUAAAGCCUUGGGAAGGAGAAUGCCAGCUUAUGAUGGAAGGAAGAACCUGUAUACGGCUGGUACUUUUCCUUUUGAGUCAAAGGAGUUCACGGUUUCACUGCCUGAAAAUGAUGGAAGGAAGGCCAAGGAUUUUAGAGUGAUUAUUAAGCUUGCUGGAAACACAAGCAUACACAACCUGAAGGAGGUUUUUAGUUGGUCGACAGAUUGAGGCACCUCAAGAAGUCAUUCAAGCCCUUGAUAUUGUUCUUAGGGAGUCUCCAUCUACCAAGUAUACUUCGGUAGCACGGUCCUUCUUUUCCCCGAGCUUUGGGCAUUGGGCACCCAUUGGAGAAGGCUUAGAAUGCUGGAGGGGCUACUAUCAAAGCCUUCGACCAACACAAAUGGGCUUGUCUUUGAACAUAGGUAAG